CGGCAGCGGGGGAGAAGCUUGCUUCUCCUGCCGGCGAGUGGCGAACGGGUGAGUAAUACAUCGGAACGUGCCCUGUAGUGGGGGAUAACUAGUCGAAAGAUUAGCUAAUACCGCAUACGACCUGAGGGUGAAAGUGGGGGACCGCAAGGCCUCAUGCUAUAGGAGCGGCCGAUGUCUGAUUAGCUAGUUGGUGGGGUAAAGGCCCACCAAGGCGACGAUCAGUAGCUGGUCUGAGAGGACGAUCAGCCACACUGGGACUGAGACACGGCCCAGACUCCUACGGGAGGCAGCAGUGGGGAAUUUUGGACAAUGGGCGAAAGCCUGAUCCAGCAAUGCCGCGUGUGUGAAGAAGGCCUUCGGGUUGUAAAGCACUUUUGUCCGGAAAGAAAUGGCUCUGGUUAAUACCUGGGGUCGAUGACGGUACCGGAAGAAUAAGGACCGGCUAACUACGUGCCAGCAGCCGCGGUAAUACGUAGGGUCCAAGCGUUAAUCGGAAUUACUGGGCGUAAAGCGUGCGCAGGCGGUUGUGCAAGACCGAUGUGAAAUCCCCGAGCUUAACUUGGGAAUUGCAUUGGUGACUGCACGGCUAGAGUGUGUCAGAGGGGGGUAGAAUUCCACGUGUAGCAGUGAAAUGCGUAGAGAUGUGGAGGAAUACCGAUGGCGAAGGCAGCCCCCUGGGAUAACACUGACGCUCAUGCACGAAAGCGUGGGGAGCAAACAGGAUUAGAUACCCUGGUAGUCCACGCCCUAAACGAUGUCAACUAGUUGUUGGGGAUUCAUUUCCUUAGUAACGUAGCUACGCGUGAAGUUGACCGCCUGGGGAGUACGGUCGCAAGAUUAAAACUCAAAGGAAUUGACGGGGACCCGCACAAGCGGUGGAUGAUUGUGGAUUAAUUCGAUGCAACGCGGAAAACCUUACCUACCCUUGACAUGCCACUAACGAA
RNAcentral lists this ribosomal RNA (944 nucleotides) under Ralstonia mannitolilytica. RNAcentral's name for it is "bacterial SSU rRNA". It matches the Rfam family "Bacterial small subunit ribosomal RNA", at positions 67 to 999 of the family's 1533-position model. Lineage: Bacteria; Pseudomonadati; Pseudomonadota; Betaproteobacteria; Burkholderiales; Burkholderiaceae. The record is from RNAcentral.